ACAACUUGUUUUGAGUAGAGAACGCAAUACCGUGGGGACAGUUUAGCGAAGAUUGUUUUCAAAUUAACCACCUUUCCCGACCUAUACAAAUGUUUGAAGAGAAAGACUCUCAGGUCAGACCUUGAAUAUUAUCAAAACUGGGACAGUUCAUGAUAUUCCAGAUAUAAGCUGGUUGUCAUGGCCACAGCUACCAUAAGAUGCCCAGGGUGUGGCCAGGAAAUCAUGCGAGGUGCCGCAGUGGAGUGCAAUUUUAAACCAAGUGUCCAAGCUACUACAUUCCAGCAGAGUUUUGAACGAGCUCAAGAGAGACACUGGCUAUGUAUGGAAUGUAAAUACAUUGUGGAGAAUCGCUAUGGUGAUAUGUCUUCAGUCACAUCUGAGGAUGCUUAUACUUUGUUGUACAGUGUCAGAAUAAAGAAGGGAUCCAACUGCUGUAAUUCAUGUACAAUCAUAUAGCUAAACUGUUGCCAAUUAGCUCCUAACCUUAUUGACAAGCUAGAAACAGUAGUCAGUCGUAAGCUCAGAAUAUUUUAUUCUCCUGAGUCAAGACCAUACUUUGAUUUACGAAUGGUGUCGGGUAUUUGUUGUUACAUCAAGACAAGCUUGUCAGUGAUGAUUUUCUUUCUUCUCAUAACCUGCCUGCUUGAUUAUGUAUUAAGAAUGUGGGGAGAAAUUGGCUUUUGGUUGCUCUGAGUGUCUUAUCAUGCUAUCAUGCUUCAUGAAAUGAAGCCCAACUAGCUUGAUCAAUUUAGUCAGAAAUGUCAGAAAGAGAACACUUUGUUAAAAGUGGAUGUCUAUAUUUGAACUCUACAUAUCACUCAAUCCCAGGAGUGAAGAUCUGGGCAUUAAAGUGCUUUAAUUUAAGAUAAUGUUGUGCUGCAUAAGCAGGCAAGUAAAAUAAUUUAUCGAUAGUUUUAAACAGCAAUCAAGUUACCUAGCCUUGUUUAGGAACUCUGUUUAUUAAACUAUGUAUAUAAACACCUUUCUACUAUUAAUACGGAUGCCAUAGGCACCAAAGAUCAUGUUGUUCAAUAAAUAUAUAGUAUUA
This is a long non-coding RNA of Orbicella faveolata, 1048 nucleotides long. RefSeq lists it as uncharacterized. The record is from RefSeq and is a predicted model, not a curated record. Lineage: Eukaryota; Metazoa; Cnidaria; Anthozoa; Scleractinia; Merulinidae.